This 1185-nucleotide long non-coding RNA is filed under the name Homo sapiens (human). RNAcentral describes it as "HSALNT0272766". The record is from RNAcentral. Lineage: Eukaryota; Metazoa; Chordata; Mammalia; Primates; Hominidae.
CUUCGGAUAUCAAAUUAUUUACUAGAAAAAACAUUUUUAUGAAGGGAAAAUAAUAUAUGUGAGUUUAAAUAGGAGACAGGAUUCAAAGUUUCAUCAUUUCACUAAAUGCAUCUCCAUCUGAAUUGUCCGUGUGAUUUUUGUGAUAGAGAAGAGAAUGAGGAGCAAGCAAGAGUCGAUAUUCCUGUUAAACCCUGGCUGUCCUUCUCAUCCAUGGUGCUGCGUGUGGACAACAUACACCUGGGGCUCACCUGAGCCUGCUUGGGACGUGUGUCACUUGGAUAGUUCUGCAAGCGAUUCGCAUGCAAUAGGCAGUAAAUGCCGACGUCAUGAAUGAAUGAAGAGAAUACUACAAAGAGGAAACAGAAGGCACUUUUGUCCCCAUGUGUCAUUCUAACUGUGAGAGUGUGUGUGUGUGUCCUGAGGUGUGCGAGUGUGUGUGUGUGUGUCCUGAGGUGCGUGAGAGGUUGUAUGUUUGUCCUGAAGUGUGUGAGAGUUUAUAUAGGUUUCUGAGGUAUGUGAGGGGUUGUGUGUGUCCCUGAGGUGUAUGAGGUGUGUGUGGGUCCUGAGGUGUGUGAGUGGUUGUGUGUGGGUCCCUGAGGUGUGUGAGAGGUUGUGUGUGGGUCCUAAGGUGUGUGAGUGGUUGUGUGUGGGUCCUAAGGUGUGUGAGAGGUUGUGUGUGGGUCCUAAGGUGUGUGAGUGGUUGUGUGUGGGUCCUAAGGUGUGUGAGAGGUUGUGUGAGUCCUGAGGUGUGUGAGAGGAUUGUGUGUGAGUCCUGAGGUGUGUGAGGGGUUAUGUAUGGGCCCCUGAGGUGUGUGAGGGGUUUUAUGUGUGUGGGUUCCUUAUAUGGGUUCCUGAGGUGUGUGAGGGGUUGUGUGUGUGUCCUGAGGUGUGUGAGGGGUUGUGCUUGGGUCCUGGGGUGUGUGAGUGGGUGUUUGUCCUGAGGUGUGUGAGAGGUUGUGUGUGUGUCCUGAGGUGUGUGAGAGUUUGCGUAGGUUCCUGAGGUAUGUGAGGGGUUGUGUGUGUCCUGAGGUGUGUGAGAGGUUGUGUGAGUCCCUGGGGUGUGUGAGAGUUUGUGUAGGUUUCUGAGGUGUGUGAGAGUUUGUGUAGCUUCCUGAGGUGUGUGAGAGGUUGUGUGAGUCCCUGAGGUGCGUGAGGGGUUGUGUGUGUCCUGAAGUGUGUGAGAGG